Long non-coding RNA from Lytechinus pictus (painted urchin), 1174 nucleotides. RefSeq lists it as uncharacterized. The record is from RefSeq and is a predicted model, not a curated record. The transcript has 2 exons. Lineage: Eukaryota; Metazoa; Echinodermata; Echinoidea; Temnopleuroida; Toxopneustidae.
AGUUGGGACAAAAAUCAUCGAUCCGAAAAGAUAUAAAUAUGCAGUGCGUUAUUGUUGAUAAAACUAGAUCGACUCAAUCCAUGAAGGCUGCAGUAUCCUCUUAGACCUCUUGAUAUAUAUUGUUUCUGGGUGUUGCUCUAAAACCAAAUCUAACGAUGAAUCGAACAGCUAUCCUGUGUCUAUUUGCCAUGUUAGUUCUCUUCAGCUCUGUCAAUGGCAAACGCCGUUUAAAUUCUCGUCGAUACAAAGAGAGUCCCAUCAUCAAGCGAGAGGCAUAUGAAGGGAUGGCUGGAGGUGCGAUGAAGGUUUCCAAAAUCAACCAGAAGGUGAAUGCAGCCAAUGAACCUCAUGGAGUCAUGCGGAAGAAGCUUGAGCACGGAAAGUAAUUGACUGGCCAGGCUGGGAGGACGCGGGAUCCAUGCAUCAUCAAACAUCUACCCAAACGAAAACCACACGAUACCACACACCCUGACCACUCACGCCCACCAGAUCAACUUUAACACGAAAAUUAGCGAUCAAUUGCUAAAUGGACUGGCCAAUAAAGAUCAAUAUUACAUGCGCAUUUGGUUUAAAAUAUUGACUAAGAAACAAUCAGUGUGGUUCUUUCAUAUUUGCAAUUCAUCGCAAACCUUUGUGUUACGAAAGCCAGAUCAGCUUUACUUAUAAAUUAAAAGUUCAUUCUCGUAUUCAUCUAUGAAUUAAUUAAUGAAUAAAUUAAUCAAUUAUCCCAUGCAAUAAUGAUAAUCAUUUUACAAAUUUAUAGCCAAUUAGUUACGAAUACAUCUAAAAGCAAGGAUAAUAGAAACCAGGAAAUACCAUGAAUGCUAGUCAAGUAUGGUCCCUUGGCAAUGAAAUAAUGUAAUGUUUUCUAACUUGUUACGUUAAAUUUAUUACUUGGCUUAUGAAUACAAGAUAAUCGAUGUUUCGACGUCAAAUUUAAAUUCAAAUUAAAGAAAAGAAAUACCUAUGAAUAGGUUAAGGAAAUAUUUCCUUCUGCUACCAAUGGAUCAAUGUGGGUGGCAUAUAUAGUCAUCAAAUAAACUUAAAGAAAAGCAUGCGUUGUAUUAUACCACAUGAAUUCUUGGUUUUAAUGGUUUGGGUGUUUUAUCUUGUAUUAUCUACAAAUUAUUUCAUUCUAGGUAAAACUGAAUAAAGAUAAAUAAUCAAACAGAAA